Molecule: ribosomal RNA, 425 nt
Filed under: uncultured bacterium
Lineage: Bacteria
Description: partial 16S ribosomal RNA
Rfam family: Bacterial small subunit ribosomal RNA
Source: RNAcentral
GUGGGGAAUCUUGCGCAAUGGGCGAAAGCCUGACGCAGCCAUGCCGCGUGAAUGAUGAAGGUCUUAGGAUUGUAAAAUUCUUUCACCGGGGACGAUAAUGACGGUACCCGGAGAAGAAGCUCCGGCUAACUUCGUGCCAGCAGCCGCGGUAAUACGAAGGGGGCUAGCGUUGCUCGGAAUUACUGGGCGUAAAGGGCGCGUAGGCGGACAGCUUAGUCAGAGGUGAAAGCCCAGGGCUCAACCUUGGGAUUGCCUUUGAUACUGGCUGUCUUGAGUUUGGGAGAGGUGAGUGGAACUCCGAGUGUAGAGGUGAAAUUCGUAGAUAUUCGGAAGAACACCAGUGGCGAAGGCGACUCACUGGCCCAAUACUGACGCUGAGGCGCGAAAGCGUGGGGAGCAAACAGGAUUAGAUACCCGUGUAGUCC